UGGUCUUCCUCGAAAAAAAAUCUCGGAGAUUUUUUUGUUUCUAUAAUAUAGUUUAUGCAACUUCGUUUAAACAAAACAAUCUCCGAGAUUUUUUCGAGGAAGACCA
Molecule: small RNA, 106 nt
Filed under: Mytilus galloprovincialis (Mediterranean mussel)
Lineage: Eukaryota; Metazoa; Mollusca; Bivalvia; Mytilida; Mytilidae
Source: RNAcentral